This 403-nucleotide ribosomal RNA is filed under the name Verrucomicrobiota bacterium. RNAcentral's name for it is "Verrucomicrobia bacterium partial 16S ribosomal RNA". It matches the Rfam family "Bacterial small subunit ribosomal RNA", at positions 355 to 776 of the family's 1533-position model. Lineage: Bacteria; Pseudomonadati; Verrucomicrobiota. The record is from RNAcentral.
UGGGGAAUAUUGCACAAUGGGGGAAACCCUGAUGCAGCGACGCCGCGUGAGCGAAGAAGGCUUUCGAGUCGUAAAGCUCUGUCCUAUGAGAAGAUAAUGACGGUAUCAUAGGAGGAAGCCCUGGCUAAAUACGUGCCAGCAGCCGCGGUAAUACGUAUGGGGCGAGCGUUGUCCGGAAUUAUUGGGCGUAAAGGGCGUGUAGGCGGCUAGAUAAGUGUGAUGUUUAAAUCCAAGGCUUAACCUUGGGGUUCAUUACAAACUGUUUAGCUUGAGUGCUGGAGAGGAUAGUGGAAUUCCUAGUGUAGCGGUAAAAUGCGUAGAUAUUAGGAGGAACACCGGUGGCGAAGGCGGCUAUCUGGACAGUAACUGACGCUGAGGCGCGAAAGCGUGGGUAGCAAACAGG